This 72-nucleotide transfer RNA is filed under the name Trichobilharzia regenti. It matches the Rfam family "tRNA". From Rfam's summary of the family: Transfer RNA (tRNA) molecules are approximately 80 nucleotides in length. Their secondary structure includes four short double-helical elements and three loops (D, anti-codon, and T loops). Further hydrogen bonds mediate the characteristic L-shaped molecular structure. tRNAs have two regions of fundamental functional importance: the anti-codon, which is responsible for specific mRNA codon recognition, and the 3' end, to which the tRNAs corresponding amino acid is attached (by aminoacyl-tRNA synthetases). tRNAs cope with the degeneracy of the genetic code in two manners: having more than one tRNA (with a specific anti-codon) for a particular amino acid; and 'wobble' base-pairing, i.e. permitting non-standard base-pairing at the 3rd anti-codon position. The record is from Rfam by way of RNAcentral. Lineage: Eukaryota; Metazoa; Platyhelminthes; Trematoda; Strigeidida; Schistosomatidae.
GCGUCGGUGGCACAGCGGUAGAGUGCUCGCCAACCAAGCAGGUGGUUCGGGGUUCAAUCCCCGGCCGAUGCA